This 373-nucleotide ribosomal RNA is filed under the name uncultured organism. RNAcentral's name for it is "bacterial SSU rRNA". It matches the Rfam family "Bacterial small subunit ribosomal RNA", at positions 526 to 896 of the family's 1533-position model. The record is from RNAcentral.
CGUAGGGUGGCGAGCGUUAAUCGGAAUUACUGGCGUAAAGCGUGCGCGAGGCGGUGAUGUAAGACAGAUGUGAAAUCCCCGGGCUCAACCUGGGAACUGCGUUUGUGACUGCAUCACUCGAGUACGGCAGAGGGAGGUGGAAUUCCGCGUGUAGCAGUGAAAUGCGUAGAUAUGCGGAGGAACACCGAUGGCGAAGGCAGCCUCCUGGGCCAGUACUGACGCUCAUGCACGAAAGCGUGGGGAGCAAACAGGAUUAGAUACCCUGGUAGUCCACGCCCUAAACGAUGUCAACUAGUUGUUCGGUGAGGAGACUCAUUGAGUAACGCAGCUAACGCGUGAAGUUGACCGCCUGGGGAGUACGGCCGCAAGGUUA